GGGUUGUGAGGUUAAGCGACUAAGCGUACACGGUGGAUGCCUUGGCAGUCAGAGGCGAUGAAGGACGUGCUAAUCUGCGAUAAGCGUCGGUAAGGUGAUAUGAACCGUUAUAACCGGCGAUUUCCGAAUGGGGAAACCCAGUGUGAUU
Molecule: ribosomal RNA, 148 nt
Filed under: Escherichia coli
Lineage: Bacteria; Pseudomonadati; Pseudomonadota; Gammaproteobacteria; Enterobacterales; Enterobacteriaceae
Description: partial 23S ribosomal RNA
Rfam family: Bacterial large subunit ribosomal RNA
Source: RNAcentral